GAUGAACGCUAGCUACAGGCUUAACACAUGCAAGUCGAGGGACCGGCGCACGGGUGAGUAACACGUAUCCAACCUGCCCUUUACUCGGGGAUAGCCUUUCGAAAGAAAGAUUAAUACCCGAUUUAAAGGAUGGGGAUGCGUUCCAUUAGGUUGUUGGUGAGGUAACGACUCACCAAUCCUUCGAUGGAUAGGGGUUCUGAGAGGAAGUUCCCCCACAUUUGAACUGAGACACGGUCCAAACUCCUACUGGAGGCAGCAGUGAGGUAUAUUGGUCGAUGGGCGUUAGCCUGAACCAGCCAAGUAGCGUGAAGGAUGAAGGCUUAUUGGUCGUAAACUUCUUUUCUAUAAGAAUAUGUAUUAUAUGAAUAAGGCUCGGCUAACUCCGUGCCAGCCGCCGCGGUAAUUC
This 406-nucleotide ribosomal RNA is filed under the name uncultured bacterium. RNAcentral's name for it is "partial 16S ribosomal RNA". It matches the Rfam family "Bacterial small subunit ribosomal RNA", at positions 28 to 526 of the family's 1533-position model. The record is from RNAcentral.